This 276-nucleotide ribosomal RNA is filed under the name Lelliottia amnigena. RNAcentral describes it as "partial 16S ribosomal RNA". It matches the Rfam family "Bacterial small subunit ribosomal RNA", at positions 224 to 492 of the family's 1533-position model. The record is from RNAcentral. Lineage: Bacteria; Pseudomonadati; Pseudomonadota; Gammaproteobacteria; Enterobacterales; Enterobacteriaceae.
GAUGUGCCCAGAUGGGAUUAGCUAGUAGGUGGGGUAAUGGCUCACCUAGGCGACGAUCCCUAGCUGGUCUGAGAGGAUGACCAGCCACACUGGAACUGAGACACGGUCCAGACUCCUACGGGAGGCAGCAGUGGGGAAUAUUGCACAAUGGGCGCAAGCCUGAUGCAGCCAUGCCGCGUGUAUGAAGAAGGCCUUCGGGUUGUAAAGUACUUUCAGCGAGGAGGAAGGCGUUGAGGUUAAUAACCUCAGCGAUUGACGUUACUCGCAGAAGAAGCA